RNAcentral lists this ribosomal RNA (303 nucleotides) under uncultured bacterium. RNAcentral describes it as "partial 16S ribosomal RNA". It matches the Rfam family "Bacterial small subunit ribosomal RNA", at positions 507 to 808 of the family's 1533-position model. The record is from RNAcentral.
AGCAGUAGCCGCGGUAAUGCGUAUGUCACAAGCGUUAUCCGGAUUUAUUGGGCGUAAAGCGCGUCUAGGUGGUUAUGUAAGUCUGAUGUGAAAAUGCAGGGCUCAACUCUGUAUUGCGUUGGGAACUGUGUAACUAGAGUACUGGAGAGGUAAGCGGAACUACAAGUGUAGAGGUGAAAUUCGUAGAUAUUUGUAGGAAUGCCGAUGGGGAAGCCAGCUUACUGGACAGAUACUGACGCUGAAGCGCGAAAGCGUGGGUAGCAAACAGGAUUAGAUACCCCGGUAGUCCCUGUCUCUUAUACC